Molecule: ribosomal RNA, 491 nt
Filed under: uncultured bacterium
Lineage: Bacteria
Description: partial 16S ribosomal RNA
Rfam family: Bacterial small subunit ribosomal RNA
Source: RNAcentral
AGUGAACGCUGGCGGUAGGCCUAACACAUGCAAGUCGAACGGCAGCACAGUAAGAGCUUGCUCUUACGGGUGGCGAGUGGCGGACGGGUGAGGAAUACAUCGGAAUCUACUUUUUCGUGGGGGAUAACGUAGGGAAACUUACGCUAAUACCGCAUACGACCUACGGGUGAAAGCAGGGGAUCUUCGGACCUUGCGCGAUUGAAUGAGCCGAUGUCGGAUUAGCUAGUUGGCGGGGUAAAGGCCCACCAAGGCGACGAUCCGUAGCUGGUCUGAGAGGAUGAUCAGCCACACUGGAACUGAGACACGGUCCAGACUCCUACGGGAGGCAGCAUUGGGGAAUAUUGGACAAUGGGCGCAAGCCUGAUCCAGCCAUACCGCGUGGGUGAAGAAGGCCUGCGGGUUGUAAAGCCCUUUUGUUGGGAAAGAAAAGCAGCAGGUUAAGACCCCGCUGUUCGGACGGUACCCAAAGAAGAAGCACCGGCGAACUGCGU